RNAcentral lists this transfer RNA (72 nucleotides) under Mycobacterium intracellulare. Its description in RNAcentral is "tRNA-Phe". It matches the Rfam family "tRNA". Rfam says of the family: Transfer RNA (tRNA) molecules are approximately 80 nucleotides in length. Their secondary structure includes four short double-helical elements and three loops (D, anti-codon, and T loops). Lineage: Bacteria; Bacillati; Actinomycetota; Actinomycetes; Mycobacteriales; Mycobacteriaceae. The record is from RNAcentral.
CUCUCUGUAGCUCAGUUGGUAGAGCGCAUGUUUGAAGCACAUGAUGCCGAGGUUCGAUUCCUUGCGGAGAGG